This 1204-nucleotide ribosomal RNA is filed under the name metagenome. RNAcentral describes it as "SSU rRNA". It matches the Rfam family "Eukaryotic small subunit ribosomal RNA", at positions 565 to 1789 of the family's 1831-position model. The record is from RNAcentral.
UGCCAGCAGCCGCGGUAAUUCCAGCUCCAAUAGCGUAUAUUAAAGUUGUUGUGGUUAAAAAGCUCGUAGUUGGAUCUCAGUUCGAGUCAGGCGGUCCACUUGCCAGUGGCUACUGCCUGACUGAACACUUUACCGAGUUGUCCUAUGGUGUUCUUCACCGAGCGUCAUAGGCGAUCGGUACGUUUACUUUGAAAAAAUUAGAGUGCUCAAAGCAGGCGUAACGCCCGAAUAAUGUUGCAUGGAAUAAUGGAAUAGGACCUCGGUUCUAUUCUGUUGGUCUUCGGAAUCAGAGGUAAUGAUCAAUAGGGACAGACGGGGACAUUCGUAUUGCGGCGCUAGAGGUGAAAUUCUUGGACCGUCGCAAGACGAACUAAAGCGAAAGCAUUUGUCAAGAAUGUUUUCAUUAAUCAAGAACGAAAGUAGAGGUUCGAAGGCGAUCAGAUACCGCCCUAGUUCUAACCAUAAACGAUGCCAACCAGUAAUUCGUCUGAGUUCCUUAAAUGACUCGACGAGGGACUUCCGGGAAACCAAAGUCUUUCGGUUCCAGGGGAAGUAUGGUUGCAAAGCUGAAACUUAAAGAAAUUGACGGAAGGGCACCACCAGGAGUGGAGCCUGCGGCCUAAUUUGACCCAACACGGGAAAACUCGCCCGGCCCGGACACUGGAAGGAUUGACAGAUUGAGAGCUCUUUCUUGAUUCAGUGGGUGGUGGUGCAUGGCCGUUCUUAGUUGGUGGAGUGAUUUGUCUGGUUAAUUCCGAUAACGAACGAGACUCUAGCCUACUAAAUAGAUCGUCGGCUUACAAACGCCGGCGAGACUUCUUAGAGGGACAGGCGGUGAUUCAACCGCACGAAACAGAGCAAUAACAGGUCUGUGAUGCCCUUAGAUGUCCGGGGCCGCACGCGCGCUACACUGAAGUGAUCAGCGUGCUUUUUCAACCUACUCUGUCAAGAGUGGGGAACCCAAUGAACCUUCUUCGUGAUUGGGAUAGGGGAUUGUAAUUAUUCCCCUUGAACGAGGGAUUCCCAGUAAGCGCGAGUCAUAAGCUCGCGUUGAUUACGUCCCUGCCCUUUGUACACACCGCCCGUCGCUACUACCGAUUGAAUGUUUUAGUGAGGUCUUCGGACUGGCCGGCGCAGCACUCUCGUAGUGCAGCGCUGUGUUUGGAAAGAUGCCCAAACUUGAACAUUUAGAGGAAGUAAAAGU